This 302-nucleotide ribosomal RNA is filed under the name uncultured bacterium. RNAcentral's name for it is "partial 16S ribosomal RNA". It matches the Rfam family "Bacterial small subunit ribosomal RNA", at positions 508 to 807 of the family's 1533-position model. The record is from RNAcentral.
GCAGUAGCCACGGGAAUACGGAGGGAGCUAGCGUUGUUCGGAAUCACUGGGCGUAAAGCGCACGUAGGCGGCUAUUCAAGUCAGGGGUGAAAGCUCGGGGCUCAACCCCGGAACUGCCUUUGAAACUAGAUAGCUUGAAUCUUGGAGAGGCGAGUGGAAUUCCGAGUGUAGAGGUGAAAUUCGUAGAUAUUCGGAAGAACACCAGUGGCGAAGGCGGCUCACUGGACUGGUAUUGACGCUGAGGUGCGAAAGCGUGGGGAGCAAACAGGAUUAGAUACCCCUGUAGUCCCUGUCUCUUAUAC